GUCUAUAGCCAUGCCACCUUGAACAAGCCCGAUGUCUGAUCUCGGAAGCUAAGCAGGGUUGGGCCUGGUGAAUAUUUCAAUGGGAGACCACCUAGGAAGACCAAGUGCUGUAGACA
This 116-nucleotide ribosomal RNA is filed under the name Pteropus alecto (black flying fox). The record is from RNAcentral. Lineage: Eukaryota; Metazoa; Chordata; Mammalia; Chiroptera; Pteropodidae.